AGCAGCCGCGGUAAUUCCAGCUCCAAUAGCGUAUAUUAAAGUUGUUGCAGUUAAAAAGCUCGUAGUUGAAUUUCGGGAUUGGCGCAUCGGUCGUGCCUCACGGGGUAUGAACUGGUGCAGUCAAUUUCUCACCUUCUGGAGAACCGCGAUGUCCUUAAUUGGAUGCCGCGGGGAACCAGGACCUUUACUUUGAAAAAAUUAGAGUGUUUAAAGCAGGCAUUUUUGCUUGAAUACAUUAGCAUGGAAUAAUAAAAUAGGACGGCAUGGUUCUAUUUUGUUGGUUUCUAGGACCACCGUAAUGAUUAAUAGGGAUAGUUGGGGGCAUUAGUAUUCAAUUGUCAGAGGUGAAAUUCUUGGAUUUAUUGAAGACUAACUACUGCGAAAGCAUUUGCCAAGGAUGUUUUCAUUAAUCAAGAACGAAAGUUAGGGGAUCGAAGACGAUCAGAUACC
RNAcentral lists this non-coding RNA (450 nucleotides) under uncultured Glomus. RNAcentral describes it as "SSU rRNA". It matches the Rfam family "Eukaryotic small subunit ribosomal RNA", at positions 569 to 1016 of the family's 1831-position model. RNAcentral also lists the same sequence under 2 other names. The record is from RNAcentral. Lineage: Eukaryota; Fungi; Glomeromycota; Glomeromycetes; Glomerales; Glomeraceae.